This 237-nucleotide unclassified non-coding RNA is filed under the name Xylonomycetes sp. RNAcentral describes it as "partial contains small subunit ribosomal RNA, internal transcribed spacer 1, and 5.8S ribosomal RNA". The stretch from base 1 to 46 matches the Rfam family "Eukaryotic small subunit ribosomal RNA", at positions 1786 to 1831 of the family's 1831-position model. Lineage: Eukaryota; Fungi; Ascomycota; Xylonomycetes. The record is from RNAcentral.
AAGUCGUAACAAGGUUUCCGUAGGUGAACCUGCGGAAGGAUCAUUACCGAGAAAAUGCCCUUCAGGGUAUAUCUCCCACCCUUUGUUUAUAAUACCAUUGUUGCUUUGGCAGGCCCGUCUUUGGACCGCUGGCUACCGCUGGUCAGUGCCUGCCAGAGGACCCCAAAACCUUGUAAUUUUGUCGUCCGAGUAUCAUAUAAUAAGUUAAAACUUUCAACAACGGAUCUCUUGGUUCUG